RNAcentral lists this small nucleolar RNA (73 nucleotides) under Carlito syrichta (Philippine tarsier). RNAcentral's name for it is "Small nucleolar RNA SNORD115 (ENSTSYG00000025664.1)". It matches the Rfam family "Small nucleolar RNA SNORD115". Rfam says of the family: HBII-52 is a member of the C/D class of snoRNAs, which contain the C (UGAUGA) and D (CUGA) box motifs. HBII-52 is encoded in a tandemly repeated array with another C/D snoRNA, HBII-85, in the Prader-Willi syndrome (PWS) region of chromosome 15. Lineage: Eukaryota; Metazoa; Chordata; Mammalia; Primates; Tarsiidae. The record is from Rfam by way of RNAcentral.
GGGUCAAUGAUGAGCGUUUAAUAUUGCUGGAGGAGCGGUGAUGACUGAAAUUUCACGCAUGACACUGAGACCC